CUCCUUUCACUUCGGUUUUCUGAGUUGGUGUUUUGCCGAUUUCUCCAUGUUUUCUGUGCUUCUUUGUGUGGUGUCUCCUUUCACUUCGGUUUUCUGAGUUGGUGUUUUGCCGAUUUCUCCAUGUUUUCUGUGCUUCUUUGUGUGGUGUCUCCUUUCACUUCGGUUUUCUGAGUUGGUGUUUUGCCGAUUUCUCCAUGUUUUCUGUGCUUCUUUGUGUGGUGUCUCCUUUCACUUCGGUUUUCUGAGUUGGUGUUUUGCCGAUUUCUCCAUGUUUUCUGUGCUUCUUUGUGUGGUGUCUCCUUUCACUUCGGUUUUCUGAGUUGGUGUUUUGCCGAUUUCUCCAUGUUUUCUGUGCUUCUUUGUGUUGUGACUCAUUUUUCUAGAAAUUUUCAGUUCAAUCGUUGUCAAAUUCUUCUUCUUUUUCUUCUCAACUUAUUUUAUUUUUAGGGUUGUUCAAAAACAUCAUUAGAAACUUGUCGCCUCUCCAUCUUGUAAAGUUUUAAGAAUGAAAUUCUUGAAUUCGUUGGAUGUUGUUGAUAUAUAUAUACAUAUAUGUAUAGAAAAAUGUUAAAAUAAUUCACUCAUUUACUAAAUUGAUUCAUUGUAUUGUAACCAUCAUUAGAAAAAUGGAUCACCUCCAAAAGCCAUCAUUACAAUCAUGGCCUUCAUCACUACUUUCCUUCUCCCAAGCCUUCUUUAUUCCAAAAAAUCCCCCCUCCCCCUCUCCCUUUCCAUGUUUUCAGCUUUCAUCUGCACUCUCUUCAUUCUUUUCCUUUCCAAUUGUGUAAGUCUCAAUCUAGAGUUCUUCUCAACAAUAUUUUGAGAGCUGUACAUCUACCUCUUUUGUACUUAGCUUACUUGUCAUGCCUAGUGCUAUAUUGUUGUCACUCUCCUAUCCCUUCAUUUUUCUAAAGAAGCUGCUAAUUUAAUUAACAUUCUUUUUGUUGUAUCAAUUAUUAUUAUGUGGUUCAAUUUGACUUCUUUUUUUCUUUUCUUUUCUUUUAUUAGUAUUUUUUUUUUUUUGCCAUGAAUAGAGACUUCAAUUUUUUAUCAUGAUUUAUAUGGACUUUUUUGGUUAAAUGUAGUUACUUUGGAAUUGGGAUUAUCUUUGUAUUUGGAAGUAGUUAUUUAUAUAUUAUAUAAGCAUCUUUUAUUUAGAAGGUGUAUUGUGACAAGAUAAGUCUAAUUGUUGCAUUGUGUUUGAUUUUAUAUGUGAAUAUGAUUCUUACAUGUCAUGUGGAAUUUUUGAGUGAAAUUCUUUUGAUUUGAUAUCUUCUUAUGGUGUUCAUGAGAGUGAUUUGGAUUGGACUCUUUGUUGAUUUUGUUAUGUAUUUGUCUUGAAUUAAUAUCUUUAAACAUAACUCUACAAAGUCAUAUUUGUGAAGUUGUCAAUUUGGUUGUAUGUUUAGUUUGUAGGUUGUCACAUCUUGAUAAAUAGCAAUGUGGAUGCAAGUUUGAUGUAUGUUGUGAGUCCUCUAAAGCUUGAAUUUUGGAUAAGUAUCUUUUUUCAUCUUAUCAAUGUAUAAUUGACUACAACUCAAUCUUAGCAUUAUAAUCCUUCUUGAGUUUAAUAAACUCAAAAUAUUAUGAGAUCAAUUCAAUAUGAGAGUUGUCUAUAGUUUAAGUUUACAUUUUCUAUUGCUACUAAAUAAAAAUAAAAAUUCUACCUAUGCAAUCUAACACUACAAUUCAACUAGGAUCUUAGUUCCAUCUUACCACCCCAAGAACUUUAAAUGCUCCUUCCAAGUUUCACAAAAACUCUUUAAGACUUAAAAACCUCGUAAAAGCUUCACAUAAAGAAUCAAGUCUACAUCUUACAAUUAAGACCUCUUCCAUAAUUCUAUGUUCCCUUUGGAAAUGAGGAAUGCUUUCUUAGAACACCUUACAAUUGUCCUUCUAAGAUUCUUUACAAAUUCGAUGAGCUACUAAUUCUUCGAUCUUGCUACUCUUGAUUUAAGGAGAAAAGCCUUAUCAUGGUUGUCACUCAGACAUGCACGCCAAUGAUAUUAUAUGUGCUUUUGGAUCCAACAAAUUUGAAUGUACAUUGUAAAGACUUCACUGAGAGCUUAUAUAGAAUAAAUAAGUUUCAUGAAGAACUUUUGACUAAGGUUCAUACAAUUGGAAAUGAAAUAAAUGAAAGGGAUUAGCAUGAGAGUUAAGAAUGGAAGGAAGUAGGGGGAUGGAUUUUAGAAUAAAAAAAACUAGCAAUGAAAAAAACAAAAGUUCAGAAUAAAGGGCGUUGAAAUGAUGGCUAUAAUUAUAAUAAUGGUUUUUGGAGAUGAUCCAUUUUUUUUAAUGAUGGUUACAAUAAGAUAAGUUGAUUUAAUAAAUGAAUGGAUUAUUUUAAUAAUUUUUUAUAUAUACUUAUAAGUUUUUUUAUGUAAUAAUAUUGAAAGAUUUAUGAUAUCUAGAUUUGAGUAGAUUUUUGUUAAAUGAAAUUUUUGAAAGAUAUUUGAGAAUUAUUGAAAAUCAACCUAUUCCAAGAUGCCACCAAGAAGGUAGAGAGAAAAUUUUCUUAAUUAAAAUAAAUUAAAUAUAUUAUUUUUAUUUAUUUUAUAUUAUGAAUCAUAUUAUCUAUUCAUCUUUUAAAUUCAAAUAUAUUAUAUAUUUAAAUAUGUGCUUACAAGACCAUAUACAAAUAUUGAGUAGGUUAAAAUUGAAUUGUAAUAUAUAUAUAUAUAUAUAUAUAUAUAUAUAAAAUAUAAAAUUUUAAAAUAAUAUAAAUACAAAAAUAUAUUCAAUCUUGUAUGCAUUUUUGUAUUUAUAAGCUUAAAACUUAUUAUCUAAGAUUUGGAAAAGAACUUCAUAUAAAAACUUACUAUGAAGUUUUAAUGAUUUUUGAAAUAAAUAUAAAUAAGUUAAAAAAUAUUCUAGAAGUUUUAAAAUAUUAUUAUUAAUUUGAUUUUAAAUUUGAUGUAAAGAAGUUACACACAUGUUAUUAUAAAAAAAAUUUCUUAUAAUAAUAAACAUCAAAAAUAUUUACUCAAAUAUGUAUUAUUGAGUAUUUUUUCCAAAUUUAAAUACACCAUAAAUAUACUCUAUGUGAGAUAUUUAAUUUUGAUUUUUAAAAUUUAAAAUUUAGAUAAAUCUUUGUUCAUAUUGACUAAAUUAUCUAUUGAUGAGCAUUAUAUGAUUUUCUUAGAAUUAAAAAUUUCAAAACAUGUUGAUAUAUAAAUUCUAGAAUAAAAAUUUCUUUAAGCGCUAAAUUCUACAAAAGUUUAAAGAGUGCUAUGCCACAUUUGUUUUGAUAGAUGUUGUAAGUAUGGCAAUCAACCUAAAGUUUUUGUUUUUAAAUUUUUUUUUAUAUAGAUUUUUUUAUUAUUUAAAAAAUUAAAUAAAUAAAAUAUUUUUUAAAAAAUAUUUUUAUUAAUUAAUAUUUUUUAUUUUUUACUUUUUUUCUAUAUAAAAAAUUUAUUUUUAUGUUAUAAAAAGAAAAUCAUUCAAAGACAUGAAUCACAAAGAACAAAGAAUCAAUAUAUUCUUGUGUUACUAUAAAAGAGUAGAUAAUAACUCAAAAAUAGUAUAAUAUUAAGACUAUAAUAACUAUUGUUAAAUAUAAAGCAUUGGCAAGAGUGAAAAAGACCUCACUCUUGCCUCCAUAUAUACUAACUAGGAUCUAUGGGGCAACAUUCUACAUGACCUUUGAUAUAUGCUUAUCUUGCAAAACACAUGUCUAACUUGCAAGAUAAGUUUCCUAAAUGUGUGCCACAUAGCUAACUUGUACCAUAAGUCAUCAACAUGUGCAAUACUUGGCUAACUUGUUGGCCAAGUUUUUAACCUACCAAUCACCUAUAAUUAUGUAAAAAGUUGAAUUUGCAUCUAUAAAGAUUCUAAAAAGUUUUUCCACAAGAUUUUAUCAAUUUUAUUUACUUCUAUUUAAUUCUAUCUAAUUCCUUUAAUCUAUGUAAAUAUGUAUGUCCAUGACACUUGUUAAAUAAGCACUUACAAAAUACAUCCAAAGAUAUUUUAGAUUUUUUGAAUAUGUAAUUUUAGAAAAAUAUUCUAUAGUACAAAAGGUUUUAAAAGUAAACAAAAAAGCAUUGUUCAUGAUAUAAUUUUAUUGUUUUGCAAGAUUUUAAUAAUAAAUCUACAAAAAAUAAAUCUAUGUGAAAUACAUAAAACACCAAGAAUACGAGAGUCCUGGGAGGACACCCACACAGAAGUUCGUCCGCCACGUCACACCCAUCGGAAAGGGAGUCUCAAACCCAGCCAAGCCAGGGCCGGAAGGAGGGAGAGAGAGCGGGACCCAUCCACGCUGGCCUAACUCGGAGUGAGCGGAGCGAAGGGACGCAAAUCCAGUCACUUGUCGUGGCGGCCACGUUGGCAAGCCACGUCAACCGGGAGCUUGAGAAAACGCAUGUGUGAAAGGGAAGACGAAAGAGGAGUGGUUGGGGAGGGUAGCACCCAAGCCCGUGGAAGACAAUGGAGGGCGAAAAGGAGGGAUCACCCAAACCCGUGGAAGGCAAGGCAAGGCGAAGAAGAGGGAGGUGAAUGCAAGAGUGAGAGAGAGUGAGCCAUGGCGGCUCUUCCCUUUCCUUUUACUUUCCUUCCUGAAACCUUAUCCCGAUGGGAGGGAGUUUGCUUUUUAUUGCUUCCUGCUACUAUUGCUCGCUCGCCGCAGAGGGCGACGCUCUUAGGCGCCACAAGUCUCUGCGCUACGUAAACGCAAUUGGGUCCAAACCAAAACCAGGCUCUACCGACGCCUUAUGGCUACUACUACUACUACCACGAUCACAACUCUGCCUUGAAACUGUUACUCGCCAUCGUGCCUCUAUUGCCGAGGGAGGAAUCAUCAAAACCAAAACCUCUGAAAAGAUAUGGCAGUUCUGAGGUCAGGGCUCUUUCUCGCACCUCCAGCGUCGCUCUCCUCACACAGCGCCGGCGCCAUUCGAGAUGACUCUGGACGGACAAGUGUUUCCUACUGCGGAGGAUGCUUGAGUGGCAACGCCGGAGAUGUGAGUGAGAGGUUGAAUCCUGGUGGGUUGAUUAUUGGGAAUGGCGCUUGUAGUCGAGGUAGGCUCGUGGUUGUUGGUAGAGCCGGUGGGUCUCGUCCUGCUGCGGGGGCCAGACGGCCGCGCCCGCAACCGAACAGGCGUUCCGGAGCGAAGGAGCCUCAGGAUGAG
RNAcentral lists this long non-coding RNA (5123 nucleotides) under Physcomitrium patens. Its description in RNAcentral is "long non-coding RNA (PPAT_LNC001295)". Lineage: Eukaryota; Viridiplantae; Streptophyta; Bryopsida; Funariales; Funariaceae. The record is from RNAcentral.